CGCUCUACUGCUGCUGUGCCUGAGCGCUUUGGAACCUUCUCCAUCAGCACGUGCUCUGGUGCUCAACCAACAGCCGAGGCAGGGAAGCCUGGAUUUCACCAGCUCUGCGCCUCUCAAGAGCAGAGCACUGCACACAACUGAAAACGGAGGCCGCUUCUCGUGCAGUUCAAGAACGGAAAGCCACAGCUCAAGCUGUAACUGCUCAGUAAUGGAUGUUCUACCCUUGACAAUAUGGCUCCACAACAGCGCGGGUGUUUGCGUCUAAUUCAGAUCCUCAGACUCCUCGUAGAUUUGUUCUUUAUGCCCCUAUGAACUGCAAGCAAAGAGAAGAGCAAUUUGAUCAAGGCUGUGUGUAUUCGAUUCCUGGGCUACUAGAACAAAGUACCACGCACUAGGAGGCUAAAAGAAAAGAAAUGCAUUGUGUUAAACUCUGGAGGCCUGACGUGCAAGGGUUGCCAACAGGACUCUUCUAGCUUCUAGUGUUCUUCUGGGAUUCACUGGUGUUCCUUCUCCUGAAGAAUGUAUUACUCCGAUUCUUGCCUUCAUUGCCGCAUGGUGGUCUUCUUCUGCAGGUGAUUGCCUGUGCACAUGCUUCCACGAGGAUGUCACCAGAGCUAAGCAGAGUCGGACACCUUACCCCUGUGUCUCAGACCUGUGAACUAAAUAAGCUUUGGAAGGCUUUGAAAAUCAAGUGUCAGCAUCAGGUAUUUUGUUACAGCAGCACAGGAUGGAUUAAGAUGCUACAUUUCAAGUGUUUAUAAUGUGUACUCUGGCUCUCAAAACUUUGUCAGGCCUGGAGAAAGGACACAAUAAAUAGCUGUUGAAUGUA
Molecule: long non-coding RNA, 829 nt
Organism: Peromyscus eremicus (cactus mouse)
Lineage: Eukaryota; Metazoa; Chordata; Mammalia; Rodentia; Cricetidae
Exons: 3
Source: RefSeq, a predicted model, not a curated record